This is a long non-coding RNA of Homo sapiens (human), 498 nucleotides long. RefSeq lists it as uncharacterized. The record is from RefSeq and is marked validated. The transcript has 2 exons. NCBI's taxonomy places the organism in Eukaryota, Metazoa, Chordata, Mammalia, Primates, Hominidae.
AACUGUCAGUCAACCUGUCAGUCAACAGGCAGAGGGCUGCAUUCCUUCGUUCGUAUGUUCCUUGGUUCAUUCAUUCAGAGACCUCCGAAGUGUUUCUUGAGGAAAUGUGGCUGCAGACCCUAGAAGAAGCUACACAGCACUUGCCAGGGCUGGGAUGAUGUCCAGGCCAUGGAAACACCGUGUACCUGGUCCCAGGAAGAUGAAGUGUGGGCCCAGAGACUAAUGGCUUGAGCAUCUCAGGCUAAGGUUGCCGAGAAGUAGACAGCACCUCUAGAUCCUAGUCAACAUCUCUACAGGCUUGAAGUCUCCCCAGAGGGCAAGGUUGGAAUAAAUCUGAAGCCUGUGGCUUGCCUGGGAGCUGCCCAGACUGUGGCAUCUGGGGAGUGACUUUUUAAUUUUAAUUUUAUUUUGAGACAGAGUCUUGCUCUGUCACACGGCUGGAGUGCAGUGGCGCAAUCUCAGCUCACUGAAACCUCCACCUCCUGGGUUCAAGCCAUU